This 460-nucleotide ribosomal RNA is filed under the name uncultured bacterium. Its description in RNAcentral is "SSU rRNA". It matches the Rfam family "Bacterial small subunit ribosomal RNA", at positions 26 to 518 of the family's 1533-position model. The record is from RNAcentral.
AGAGCGAACGCUGGCGGCAGGCCUAAUACAUGCAAGUCGAACGGAUCCUUCGGGAUUAGUGGCGGACGGGUGAGUAACACGUGGGAACGUGCCCUUUGGUUCGGAACAACUCAGGGAAACUUGAGCUAAUACCGAAUGAGCCCCCAUCCUUAAACAAGAUGGGUGGGAAAGAUUUAUCGCCAUUGGAGCGGCCCGCGUCUGAUUAGCUAGUUGGUGGGGUAAAGGCCCACCAAGGCGACGAUCAGUAGCUGGUCUGAGAGGAUGAUCAGCCACACUGGGACUGAGACACGGCCCAGACUCCUACGGGAGGCAGCAGUAGGGAAUCUUGCGCAAUGGGCGAAAGCCUGACGCAGCCAUGCCGCGUGAAUGAUGAAGGUCUUAGGAUUGUAAAAUUCUUUCAGCGGGGACGAUAAUGACGGUACCGCAGAAGAGCCCCGGCUAACUUCGUGCCAGCAGCCGC